AUACAGAGGGUGCGAGCGUUAAUCGGAAUUACUGGGCGUAAAGCGCGCGUAGGCGGCUUAUUAAGUCAGAUGUGAAAUCCCCGGGCUCAACCUGGGAACUGCAUCUGAUACUGGUAAGCUAGAGUUUUGGAGAGGGAAGUAGGAUUUCAGGUGUAGCGGUGAAAUGCAUAGAGAUCUGAAGGAAUACCAGUGGCGAAGGCGACUUCCUGGCCAAAAACUGACGCUGAGGUGCGAAAGCGUGGGUAGCAAACGGGAUUAGAUACCCUAGUAGUCC
RNAcentral lists this ribosomal RNA (274 nucleotides) under uncultured bacterium. Its description in RNAcentral is "partial 16S ribosomal RNA". It matches the Rfam family "Bacterial small subunit ribosomal RNA", at positions 523 to 796 of the family's 1533-position model. The record is from RNAcentral.